This 253-nucleotide ribosomal RNA is filed under the name uncultured bacterium. RNAcentral describes it as "partial 16S ribosomal RNA". It matches the Rfam family "Bacterial small subunit ribosomal RNA", at positions 524 to 776 of the family's 1533-position model. The record is from RNAcentral.
UACAGAGGGUGCGAGCGUUAAUCGGAAUUACUGGGCGUAAAGGGCGCGUAGGCGGAUAGAUAAGUUAGAUGUGAAAUCCCUGGGCUUAACCUGGGAAUGGCAUUUAAGACUGUAUGUCUAGAGUAGAGUAGAGGGAAGUGGAAUUUCCGGUGUAGCGGUGAAAUGCGUAGAGAUCGGAAAGAACACCAGUGGCGAAGGCGGCUUCCUGGACUCAUACUGACGCUGAGGCGCGAAAGCGUGGGGAGCAAACAGG